Molecule: unclassified non-coding RNA, 344 nt
Filed under: soil metagenome
Description: partial contains 5.8S ribosomal RNA, internal transcribed spacer 2, and large subunit ribosomal RNA
Rfam family: 5.8S ribosomal RNA (bases 1-120)
Source: RNAcentral
GAUGAAGAACGUAGCGAAAUGCGAUAAGUAAUGUGAAUUGCAGAAUUCAGUGAAUCAUCGAAUCUUUGAACGCACAUUGCGCCCGCCAGCAUUCUGGCGGGCAUGCCUGUUCGAGCGUCAUUUCAACCCUCGAGCCCCCCCGGGGGCCUCGGUGUUGGGGGACGGCACACCAGCCGCCCCCGAAAUGCAGUGGCGACCCCGCCGCAGCCUCCCCUGCGUAGUAGCACACACCUCGCACCGGAGCGCGGAGGCGGUCACGCCGUAAAACGCCCAACUUUCUUAGAGUUGACCUCGGAUCAGGUAGGAAUACCCGCUGAACUUAAGCAUAUCAAUAAAGCGGAGGA